Molecule: ribosomal RNA, 424 nt
Filed under: uncultured bacterium
Lineage: Bacteria
Description: bacterial SSU rRNA
Rfam family: Bacterial small subunit ribosomal RNA
Source: RNAcentral
GGGGAAUUGUUCGCAAUGGGCGCAAGCCUGACGACGCAACGCCGCGUGGAGGAUGAAGGUCUUCGGAUUGUAAACUCCUGUUGCCCGGGACGAAAAGCUUCGAUCUAACACGUCGAGGUCUGACGGUACCGGGUGAGGAAGCCCCGGCUAACUCUGUGCCAGCAGCCGCGGUAAUACAGAGGGGGCAAGCGUUGUUCGGAAUUACUGGGCGUAAAGGGCUCGUAGGCGGCCAACUAAGUCGGAUGUGAAAUCCCCAGGCUUAACCUGGGAACUGCAUCCGAUACUGGAUGGCUUGAAUCCGGGAGAGGGAUGCAGAAUUCCAGGUGUAGCGGUGAAAUGCGUAGAUAUCUGGAGGAAUACCGGUGGCGAAGGCGGCAUCCUGGACCGGCAUUGACGCUGAGGAGCGAAAGCUAGGGGAGCAAAC